GGCCGCCACGACAGUAGAUAUCACAAGGGGAUCAACGCGCCACCAACGGUGGUACGCGCCGUAAUUGUGAAACACUACUGGACGUGCAACUACACUCUCCACGCGAGGGCGGCUGGAAACAGGCUUUUAGUAAGGUCAUGUAACUGCUAAGAGUGCUGGCUAAUCGUAGUUG
This 172-nucleotide non-coding RNA is filed under the name Drosophila melanogaster (fruit fly). Lineage: Eukaryota; Metazoa; Arthropoda; Insecta; Diptera; Drosophilidae. The record is from RNAcentral.